AAAUAAACAUUAAAGGUUUGCUUAAUAAACUGUCUUUCUAAUAAACAUUAAAGGUUUGCUUAAUAAACUGUCUUUCUAAUAAACAUUAAAGGUUUGCUUAAUAAACUGUCUUUCUAAUAAACAUUAAAGGUUUGCUUAAUAAACUGUCUUUCUAAUAAACAUUAAAGGUUUGCUUAAUAAACUGUCUUUCUAAUAAACAUUAAAGGUUUGCUUAAUAAACUGUCUUUCUAAUAAACAUUAAAGGUUUGCUUAAUAAACUGUCUUUCUAAUAAACAUUAAAGGUUUGCUUAAUAAACUGUCUUUCUAAUAAACAUUAAAGGUUUGCUUAAUAAACUGUCUUUCUAAUAAACAUUAAAGGUUUGCUUAAUAAACUGUCUUUCUAAUAAACAUUAAAGGUUUGCUUAAUAAACUGUCUUUCUAAUAAACAUUAAAGGUUUGCUUAAUAAACUGUCUUUCUAAUAAACAUUAAAGGUUUGCUUAAUAAUAUCAUCUAAUAAAAGUUAAAGUUCUAUACUGAAAAUUGUAAUCCACUUCUAAUUCGAAAUAUAGAGUUGUUCCUGAUAUUGCAACAACUAACAGCACCAACAAACCUGGUAAUUUACAAUCAAAAACUUAAAGUAUUUGAUGAUUAUUAUAUCAUUUAAAUUUCAAUUUAGAAAAUCUCAAUUAUAAAUUAUAAAUGUUAUCUUAGUUCCUAUCAUAGUAUUUAAAGGGAUCCUAAAAUUAUCUUUAAGCUAUACGGCUGUAUUCAUAAAUGGCAUAUUCCAUAUGCAAUUUUCUGUAUCGAUGUUGCAAUAUUCUUGCAAAAAAAUGGAUAUUUUUCAAACUUUAUGAUAUGCAAAUUCACUACGUUUCAUUAACUUUCAAAGAAUGACCCUGUUGAGUGAAACGAAUUCAGGGUAAAUUGGCCAUAUUUAUGAAUUGGCCAU
Mytilus californianus (California mussel) is the source of this 929-nucleotide long non-coding RNA. RefSeq lists it as uncharacterized. The transcript has 4 exons. The record is from RefSeq and is a predicted model, not a curated record. NCBI's taxonomy places the organism in Eukaryota, Metazoa, Mollusca, Bivalvia, Mytilida, Mytilidae.